UUCAGAGGUCUCGAGCGUUGUUCGGAUUUACUGGGCGUAAAGGGAGCGUAGGCGGCCGGGUGUGUCGAAUGUGAAAGCCCACAACUCAACUGUGGAAUGGCAUUCGAAACUACCUGGCUAGAGUACUGGAGAGGAGAGCGGAAUUCUUGGUGUAGCGGUGAAAUGCGUAGGUAUCGGGAGGAACACCGGUGGCGAAGGCGGCUUUCUGGCCAGUUACUGACGCUCAUGCGCGAAAGCUGGGGUAGCGAACCGGAUUAGAUACCCCUGUAGU
This 271-nucleotide ribosomal RNA is filed under the name uncultured prokaryote. RNAcentral describes it as "partial 16S ribosomal RNA". It matches the Rfam family "Bacterial small subunit ribosomal RNA", at positions 524 to 794 of the family's 1533-position model. The record is from RNAcentral.